UCUGGAAGAAUUGGUGUUCCUGGCUCUGCAGCUGGAAAAAAACAAAAAACUAAAAACACACUCUCUCUCUCUCCCCCCUCCCCCUUAAUCUCUUGUCUGACAGGGAGCAGAGAGGAAGAUCAGGGAUGAAGAGCGAAAGCAAAGCAAAAGAAAAGGCAAGUGCACUGACCCCAGCUCUCAGUUGAAUGCCUUUUCUGAUGUCAAAGUGCCAAUGCUUCCCUCACACAAACGUACCGACAUCACCAUCUUCAAGCCCUUCAUGGAUCUGGACACUCAGCCAGUCCUUUUCAUUCCUGAUGUUCACUUUGCAAAUCUUCAGCGCGGGGGGCACGUCCUUCCUGUUGCUUCGGAAGAACUGGAGGGUGAAAGGUAAGAGCUGUGCUACUUCAGCCUACUGA
This 398-nucleotide long non-coding RNA is filed under the name Calidris pugnax (ruff). Its description in RNAcentral is "lncRNA (ENSCPUG00000003590.1)". Lineage: Eukaryota; Metazoa; Chordata; Aves; Charadriiformes; Scolopacidae. The record is from RNAcentral.